UGGGGAAUAUUGGACAAUGGGGGCAACCCUGAUCCAGCAAUGCCGCGUGAGUGAUGAAGGCCUUAGGGUUGUAAAGCUCUUUUGCCAGGGAAGAUGAUGACUGUACCUGGAGAAUAAGCCCCGGCUAACUUCGUGCCAGCAGCCGCGGUAAUACGAAGGGGGCUAGCGUUGUUCGGAAUUACUGGGCGUAAAGGGCGCGUAGGCGGCCGUUUAAGUUAGGUGUGAAAGUCCUGGGCUCAACCUGGGGACUGCACUUAAUACUGGAUGGCUUGAAUUCGGGAGAGGAUAGCGGAAUUCCCAGUGUAGAGGUGAAAUUCGUAGAUAUUGGGAAGAACACCGGUGGCGAAGGCGGCUAUCUGGACCGACAUUGACGCUGAGGCGCGAAAGCGUGGGGAGCAAACA
This 402-nucleotide ribosomal RNA is filed under the name uncultured bacterium. Its description in RNAcentral is "bacterial SSU rRNA". It matches the Rfam family "Bacterial small subunit ribosomal RNA", at positions 355 to 774 of the family's 1533-position model. RNAcentral also lists the same sequence under 1 other name. The record is from RNAcentral.